Long non-coding RNA from Juglans microcarpa x Juglans regia, 148 nucleotides. RefSeq lists it as uncharacterized. Lineage: Eukaryota; Viridiplantae; Streptophyta; Magnoliopsida; Fagales; Juglandaceae. The record is from RefSeq and is a predicted model, not a curated record. The transcript is spliced from 3 exons.
AAAUGAAAGCUCCCUACAUGUUUGGAAGGGACACUUCUUUGGUCAACAGCACAGUGGUGAAUGUCGGAAGGCAAUUCCAUUGUAUGUAAUGUGGUAUCUUUGAAGAGAUAGGAAUGUGCUCACAUAAAAGGGUGUCAACCACCAGUAG